RNAcentral lists this ribosomal RNA (484 nucleotides) under uncultured bacterium. RNAcentral's name for it is "bacterial SSU rRNA". It matches the Rfam family "Bacterial small subunit ribosomal RNA", at positions 501 to 985 of the family's 1533-position model. The record is from RNAcentral.
CUACGUGCCAGCAGCCGCGGUAAUACGGAAGGUUCGGGCGUUAUCCGGAUUUAUUGGGUUUAAAGGGAGCGUAGGCCGGAGAUUAAGUGUGUUGUGAAAUGUAGACGCUCAACGUCUGAAUUGCAGCGCGAACUGGUUCACUUGAGUAUGCACAACGUAGGCGGAAUUCGUCGUGUAGCGGUGAAAUGCUUAGAUAUGACGAAGAACUCCGAUUGCGAAGGCAGCUUACGGGAGCACAACUGACGCUGAAGCUCGAAGGUGCGGGUAUCAAACAGGAUUAGAUACCCUGGUAGUCCGCACAGUAAACGAUGGAUGCCCGUUGUUAGUUCACCUAAGAAUUAGCGACCAAGCGAAAGCAUUAAGCAUCCCACCUGGGGAGUACGCCGGCAACGGUGAAACUCAAAGGAAUUGACGGGGGCCCGCACAAGCGGAGGAACAUGUGGUUUAAUUCGAUGAUACGCGAGGAACCUUACCCGGGCUUGAA